This 641-nucleotide unclassified non-coding RNA is filed under the name Leishmania donovani. RNAcentral describes it as "gene:LdHU3.16.1140(CDS-product:dynein_light_chain _putative)". The record is from RNAcentral. Lineage: Eukaryota; Euglenozoa; Kinetoplastea; Trypanosomatida; Trypanosomatidae.
UCCUACAGUAGCAUCCUUGCCUAAGCAAAUGGAUACCAAAAUCAAAGAGCCAGAAGGGCCGUGCAACCUCGAAUAUGUCCGUCGCUACACUCAGUCUCUUAACUACCCGCUGGAGAAGACGAGCGAUAUGUCCGAGGAGAUGCGAGCUGACUGCAAAGAGAUUGUGGUCAACGCGUUGGAGAAGCACGAGGAUAGCUACGAGAUGGCUGCCAAGUAUGUCAAGGAGCAGAUGGACAAGAAGUUUGGACCUUCCUGGCAUUGUGUUAUUGGAGAGGGAUUCGGAUUUGAGAUCACCUAUGAGGUGAAGCACCUGAUGUACAUGUUCCAUAGGGGUUUCAUUGCUAUUGUCGUGUUCAAGGGCCUCUAAGGUGGUGUUUAUAGCACUUUGACUUCUCAUGUAUACAGCUUUACGGAAGAAACGCAAGAAAUUGAGCUGCCAUCUCAGCGGGCCACGGCUACAAUGACGUAGGUUCAUCUGCGCAGGUUGGAAUACUCAGCGCAAAAGGUGUCAGAGAUGCCAUGGAUGACAACUUGUCUUCCUUUCGAUUUGCCAGUGCUUUCUCUACGUGUGUGUGUGUGAGCGGAGUAUUCGUGAGGCUAUGCUGUCAUUGUGUCCCCCACUCUCUCUUGUCGUGCGAAAG